This 2412-nucleotide long non-coding RNA is filed under the name Equus caballus (horse). Its description in RNAcentral is "lncRNA (ENSECAG00000036166.2)". The record is from RNAcentral. Lineage: Eukaryota; Metazoa; Chordata; Mammalia; Perissodactyla; Equidae.
GCAAUCCCAGGAUUCCUGAAUCUCAGAAUUCCUGGGACCACUUCUGGGAUCAGUCAAGAACCAAUCAGAGCAGGGAAUGCAUCUGAGACAAAACAAAUUUCUGGUGUAGUCAUGGAGUAUAGCGUGUGUACUUGACAACUUACUAGCUGUAUGAUCUUUGGAAUGUUGGGUGAUCUGUCCAGGAGUGUUUUCAUUUGUCAAGUGGAGGUGAUAUUAUUUCUCUGCCCUACCACACUCAGCCAAGUGGCCGUGAAUCAUAUAUCUCUCCUCCCACUGCUUGCAGCUGCAGUUCUUUGGAACUUGGAGGACACCAGACAAGCAGCUUAUAAAUGACAGGCAGUGAAGGGCUCUGCUCAGAUAGAAUAACUGCUUGAAUCCAGUCUUUCAUCUGAAAAUUAAAAUGGACAACUCCCAGAAGCUCCUGGGGUUUGGGAAAUUUUGGGGACCAUGGAUAAGCUGAUGAGGCAGAGAUGAGUCAUUCAUAAGAAGAGAAGAAUGGAGAAGAGAAGAGCAAACUGGGAGAGGCAGAGACUGGGGACACUGAGGGAGCCUCCCCUGGGUGUCAGCAUCCACCCCCCAAGAUGCAGAAGGUUCUGCCCUAUUUCCUCAUUUGGGUUCCCUCAGAGCAAAACCAACAAAACAAAACUCUCCCUUUCACUUGAACUGUCUGCAUGGUCUGUCUUCCUUGAAAUCAAAAGAUUCUGGCCUGGGGAAAAAAGAACAUCUCUAAUACACUGCAGACCACAAAGGCGAAAAAUAUUGAGGAUCUCAAAUAUUCACACCCAAGAAUCUACUUCAUCAGACGGUUAAGAGAGUCAGAGGGACAUUCAGAGGACUUUGAAGAGUCCACAGCCUGCCUUCUCUUCCCUGAACGGACAAGCUCAGUCAGCUGUGACCGGGAAUGCUGCUGCUCUAGCGUGCAGCUGCAUUUCUCCUGCAGGCUCAGAGAGAGAACUCGGUCACUUGGCCCAGCCUGGACCAGAGUUGGCUGGUCACCUAGGACAGAACAGCCUUCUGGAUAUGGUUGAUGUUUUCCUCACUAGCUUAGCCCAGGAAGAAGAACAUUCAGAUUUACUGUCCAUCUGAAACCAAGAAAACCGUUGUAUGACCUUAAGUUCCUUGAAAUAUUUGCAUUGAAAGAGUUGCAUGGGUCAAAUAAUCACAAAUAAAGGACCCAAUUUCCUUCUGUGCCGGAGAAGACACAGUGGACUCUUUGGGAUUGUUUGUCCUUCUCUUGCUUUCCUGCCAGCUUCCACAAAACGAUGCCAGUGGGGUCCAGGAACCUGGAUCCAGGCUGCAGAGUGUGGCUGAAGGAGGCUGUCAUCCAGUCUCUGUGGGUGCAGGGAGGGCCCACUGCCUUGUAGCUGUGGAGCUGACACUUUCUGUGAGAGAGCAUGUUCCUGGCACGUGUGACAAAGGAGGCCACCAGAAGCAGAGGAACUUCAGAGUCACUUGAGACUGAGGAAGAUGUGGAGUUUGAACUGAGCCUUGAAGAUUUCAAGAAGCACUGACAGAAGAGGAAGGCAUUCCAAGCCGGGUCUUGUGUGGGGAAGGACGUGGAGGCAGUAGAGAGACAGCGAGUGCUGCUUGGCCUGCAGGGUCCAAGUAGGGAAGUGGCUGGAAAGCUAAGUGAGGACCGGACGGGAAAGUCCUAUAGAGCAGCCUGAGCAGUGCCCAAGCAGCUGAAGGAUUUUGAGCAGGAAGAUGGCAUGAUCAGAGCUGGCACUGGAUGGUUAUUCUGGGGUAAAUGUAGCUAGGGAACUGUAACUCCUUAUUCUUAGGGGCAUGUUAGGGAUGGAAUUUUGGUUCUGAAAUGCACCCCUAUGUCUUAUGUCAUUUCUACCUCGUGGAUGAAGUUUUGAUUUGUAAGUUAUUUUAUACUGUCUUUGGAAAGGAUUGUCUUUGCCAGGGGAUUUAUUUUUAUAUUUCCUGAGCCCUUCCUUCAGAUAGCUUAUAUUUUAGUUGAGAGACAAGACUAGAACACGUGAAAGAACAAUACAAAGCAAAAUGCAAGAUUCAGUUCAGACUAGAAGUUCUUGAGGACAACUGAGGAGAGGGACAACAAUGUGGUGCUAAAUGAAAGUCUCAGGAAAAUCCCCAAAUGGGGCACCUCCAGGAAUUGAGAACUAAGGGGAUUAGUAGAGAGAUAGUGACUAUUGCUCUUAAGCAAGGAGUUGUGGACACCCUUGUUUGCCUGCUAAGUAUCCUAUGUGCCCUUCCACUUUCCUGUUAGAACUUAGAUUUUGUAGGCCAAGUGACGCAGGGGGAAGCUGACCCGUGACUCCACAAACCACGACUCUAGGAGUGAGUCCUGAUCAGUCUAAAUAAACUCAUCUUGCUGAUGCCACCUCUCCUUGCCAGUGAUUGGUUCAGGGAUCCAGGUGUAAGCCAAUAAGGGCUUCUAUUCUUCUG